GAUUCGAGCCGGAGCAGAGAACAGUGUGGCCACCGUGUUAGCCAGCACACACCGUGGGCUCAGUGGGGACACCCUCACCUUCCCCACCAGGUUCACCCUGUCUGAUGUUGUCAGUGACUUUAAAAUAGAGUUAAAAGUCUACUGUUUGGUGCAGAAAAGUGAGGCCUGCAGCGACAAGAAGAAGAAACCCAAC
This is a long non-coding RNA of Nematolebias whitei (Rio pearlfish), 193 nucleotides long. RefSeq lists it as uncharacterized. The transcript has 3 exons. NCBI's taxonomy places the organism in Eukaryota, Metazoa, Chordata, Actinopteri, Cyprinodontiformes, Rivulidae. The record is from RefSeq and is a predicted model, not a curated record.